AGGGCAUGGUGAGGAACUCUCCUUACCAGCUCCUUGUAUCGUUCCCAUGACUCAUAUAAAGAUUCCCCCUCUUGCUGGAAAAAAGUAGUGAUGUCAUUCCUCAUUUU
Molecule: small nucleolar RNA, 107 nt
Filed under: Nelumbo nucifera (sacred lotus)
Lineage: Eukaryota; Viridiplantae; Streptophyta; Magnoliopsida; Proteales; Nelumbonaceae
Description: Plant small nucleolar RNA R71
Rfam family: Plant small nucleolar RNA R71
About the family: R71 is a member of the C/D box family of snoRNAs containing the C (UGAUGA) and D (CUGA) box motifs. Multiple nearly identical copies of this snoRNA have been identified in Arabidopsis, and it is thought to function as a 2'-O-ribose methylation guide for 18S ribosomal RNA.
Source: Rfam by way of RNAcentral